RNAcentral lists this ribosomal RNA (293 nucleotides) under uncultured bacterium. Its description in RNAcentral is "partial 16S ribosomal RNA". It matches the Rfam family "Bacterial small subunit ribosomal RNA", at positions 505 to 796 of the family's 1533-position model. The record is from RNAcentral.
GUGCCAGCAGCCGCGGUAAUACGUAGGGGGCUAGCGUUGUCCGGAUUUAUUGGGCGUAAAGAGCUCGUAGGUGGUUCGGUAAGUCGGAUGUGAAAUCUCCAGGCUCAACCUGGAGGGGUCAUUCGAUACUGCCGUGACUAGAGUUCGGUAGAGGAGUGUGGAAUUCCUGGUGGAGCGGUGAAAUGCGCAGAGAUCAGGAGGAACACCCGUAGCGAAGGCGGCACUCUGGGCCGAUACUGACACUGAGGAGCGAAAGCGUGGGGAGCGAACAGGAUUAGAUACCCUCGUAGUCC